CACUAAGACUAAAUUAAGACCAUUAAGAAGAAAAAACACUCCAGCGAAAGAUCCUUCUUAACAUGGGGUCAUCUCCACCCUGUUGAAUCAUCCCAGGAUUAUCCAUCACUGCUGAGUCAUGGACCUCUGAGGCUUCCGCCACCUUGACUCUUCCUCUAGCCCCUCCUCUCACCGUGUACACCCAGUCAGUGUGGCUGGCACUGACCUCCCAGCACCCCUUCAUGUGUUACUAAAUUUGUCUCUGUCUCUUAUUUCAUCCUUUCUCCAUACCCCUCAUACAAGCAGUUGGCGAUCUUGGCCAGGUCCCCCAUAUACAAGAUGGUGGCUCCAAUCUUGCUGUUGAUAUUUAAGAAUGAAGAAUGGCAAUAAAGAAUGGAAGUUGUAUUCUGCCCCCCUUUUUAAUCGGAAAACAAAAUCUUUCCCAGAAACUUUCUGACACCUUCUCUUAAGUCUCAUUGCAGAAAGAACUGUCACAAGCUACCUCCAGCUUGAAGGGAGCCUUCCCCCUUGCAAAGCCAUCUGGGAGGAAGGGGCCAGGUCUGAGGAUUCUGUUGGCUGAUCUACAGUGUCCCAAUCAGUCCCAUGAAAAUGCGAUCCUGAUUGUUGAACACAGAAGAAGCCAUGUCCAGCCAUUGGGUCAGAGGGGCUCUGGGAUCCAUCUGAAGUUUUUGUAACUUGUGCCAAAUAUCUGUUAAUAGCUGAUUAACAGAUGAAAUGAUGUCCCAUCAGUUCCUGUCCCUUCUUGGAAGAUGCAUCUAGUUUUAUAUACUUUAUGAAAAGUUUUAACUAAUCAGCUAUGGAAGAGGGCUGGAUUUGCCUCUUUGCCUGUAUGAUCCCUCUUACCUUAGCAUAAUUAACAGAUUGCUGAUGUACCUUUCCUUCCCAUGAUAGAAGCAGCUAUAGGAUCAGACAUCAUUUUCAGCCCAUCAGUACUAUUAAAUCCCAGAUUGCUUCUGUUGGAGAAAUAAAACCUCUCUGGGGCA
This is a long non-coding RNA of Chinchilla lanigera (long-tailed chinchilla), 983 nucleotides long. RefSeq lists it as uncharacterized. Lineage: Eukaryota; Metazoa; Chordata; Mammalia; Rodentia; Chinchillidae. The record is from RefSeq and is a predicted model, not a curated record. The transcript is spliced from 2 exons.